AGAUCAGCAGCAACACCUAGCCAACCCACAGCUUACUUACAGCAGACAUGUGAAUCAAUCUAGCCAAGACUAAAAGAAUCACUAAACCAAUAUGUCAUCCUAUGAAUAAUAGUAAACGUUUGUCUUAAACUAUCAUAUUAUAGGAAAAAAACCUGAUAUAUGAAAUUACCCUGUGAGUUUAUAUUAAAGAUACACUUACCUUCUCCAACAAGAGUUGUAACAAUUUUUUUCUUAUUGCAAACAAUGCUAUGGGGAUACUUAUAGUAGCAUUUCUGCUCAACGUAAUAUUUUAUUGUAGCACUGUUUGCAAUAAGAAAAUAAUUGGAAACUGCAGAAACGAUCACUAAUGAAGUAUGGGUUGAAAAUCUUUUAAGCUGAAAGCAACAAAUGUGACAAUUAAAAGGCAUAAAUUAGAUUUACAUAUUUUACAUUAUCACAACUUGUAUUACUAAAUGAUAAAAAUGAGUUGCAAAAUAAUAUAUAGACCUUUAUAUUUUAUAAAUAUGCACAUGAAAAAAUGUUUGUAAGUAUGCACAAACUGUUAACAGUUAUUACUUCAGAGGAGUGAAAAAUAGGGUGAAAAUGAGAAUGACUUUCAUUUUUAGUAUACUUAAGUACAUUUUCAAUUUUCAAUUAUAUGCAGUGAUUUUGUCCUUUAAAAAAUAGGACGGACUUUUUUUAAAUAUAAGGAAGACAUUUUCUGUGAAACAAUAAACAACUCAGUAUAUACUUAAUGUGCAUGAAGUAUGAGGUAGGAAUACAUCCAUUGACAUUCUUGCAUUUGCAUACCACUUCCCCAAAUAUGAACUCACUUCUCUGACUUUGCUAGGGCUGAGGAAUCAUCAUUACAAUAUCUGUAAAACUGGAUUUAUUAAGUGCAUCCAUAUUGUUUAUGAGUCAUAGAAAAUAUGUUCAUUUUCCUAUCCAUGUUAAAGGCUGCUUGGAGGAUUGACGGAGCAUUGCUUAGAAAAUGUUCUGGAAUUCAGAUGAAGCUGUGUUAGUAUAAAUCAUUACUGGUUACCAUAUACUCACACAUACUUAGGGGAUAAAGAUCAGAAAUUACUUAAAUGUACUUUGUCUUCUUCAAUCUUUCCGUAGCAGCACAUGGGUCAAAAUCUCCUGAAAGUUGAGCAGGGGAGCUGUAGAAGAAUUCCUCCUUUUCUUGCAGAUGAAAUCUUAUGAUAUAGCAGGGGUUACCUGGCCAAGAAGGUAAGUCUGUCAUCCAGCAGUGCUUGCAGAGGGACUAAAAUGAAUUAGGAUGUUCAGAGUUGUAUGUUAGGUGCUGCAGAAAGGAAGAAAAGAUCUCAUCCAUAAAGGGGUCUUUGACCCUGGGGAAUGGCAGUUGGCGAUUACGCUGCUUCUCAGUUCCAUCCUGUGUUGCCCCAGGUUUACUUCAUGGUCAUCCAAACUUUCUUUGCCAUGUCUUUUGUGAGACUUCUACUUAUUACUCUGUGUCAUCAUCUUUUGGUAAAUAUAAAUUCUGGCUAGGAGAACUAAGACAGACAGGGGAGCUGUCUGCACACUGUGAUUAGGCAUGCAUCAAUUCAGAGCUCCAUGCUGCUAGCUCCUGUAUUCUGCUGAGCUCCCAGGGAGGAAAUAGGAAAAGGGAGGAGAACUCACCUGUCCAAUUACAACCUACUCUGCAGUACAAAGUACUGCAAAUUCCACACAGUGGAUCUCUGUGAUUGAAGGAGCACUUGUAAAAUCUGAGACAUCCUAGUUUUUGAUUUGGUAUCCAAAACAAAUCUGAACUUUUAAUUAAAUAUUGUUCUUUUUCCUUCUUGUUUCCAAAUGAAUAGUUACACCAGCAAACUUAUUGGCUGAAAAGUUGUUUCCUACAUUUGCACUUUGAAGUGCAUCAGACAGUGGUGUGUUUGGAUGUGGGUCUUGUUGAGUUUGGUUAGUGAGUUAUUAUUGGUCGGGAUUGCAGUGGUCCUGCCAAUUGAAGAGAAGUAGGUGUGCCGAGUACUGUCAUGUUCACCUCCGCCUUUCACAGAGGCAUAUUUAGCCCUCAGUUGGUAAGUGAACUUUUUGACAAGGGUUUAAGAGGUCGUAGAGUCUGUGUAAAAGACAAAAGUCCAAAAGUGAAGCAGAAGGAAUCCAGCUUCUUAUUUAUGUCUGGCAUGGGAAGCUUCUGGAUUUGAUAGUGGGUGCACCGAAAUUUGCAUCCCAAGUCAUAGCCUUUGCUCUGCCCUACCUUCUGGUAUGUUGUUUUUCAAGUUACUUAACCUCUCAGGGCCGCAACUUACUUAUUUGAAAAAUGAAUUCUAGAAUCACAGAGUUGGAUACAAUCUUAAGGGCCAAUUAGUCAAACUUUCUUUCCAGAGGUAUUCUGCAUGAUCUCAAAUGUGUCUCUGAACUAUAGCUUCCUGAAAUUUCAUUAUUCUUGUAGGAACACAGAGGAAAACAAAGAAAAUUCAAGGAACUAAAUUCCCUCUCCACCUCAACCACCAGCAUUGAUACUCCAUCACUUAUGUACUGCAUCAAGCUGUCCUCAGAGGUGAGGAAGGUGCUGUCAAGACUAGAAGCAUGUGUCCCUCUCUCCAUUGCAAGAUGGGACAUAGAGAGGAGAAAAGUGGCAGACAGAAGUCUCAGGUAUGUCUUUAUCAGCAGCAUGAAAAUGGACUAAUACAGGGACAAAUGAUAGCAUCUACCUCAUGGACUUUUUAUGAGAAUUGAAUGAUUUAAUAAAUGUAAAAGACUUAGAACACUGCCUCAUCUAUUGUAAACAGUCAAUAAAUAUUAGUAUCAAUUUUCAUUGAAUCCUAAUCAGUAUAACUAUAAUGUUACAUUCAUGAAUAAGACAAAGGCUGGGACAAAAUAAAUGAGACACUUCACUCAG
RNAcentral lists this long non-coding RNA (2842 nucleotides) under Pan troglodytes (chimpanzee). Its description in RNAcentral is "lincRNA". The record is from RNAcentral. Lineage: Eukaryota; Metazoa; Chordata; Mammalia; Primates; Hominidae.